This 72-nucleotide transfer RNA is filed under the name Toxocara canis (dog roundworm). It matches the Rfam family "tRNA". Rfam says of the family: Transfer RNA (tRNA) molecules are approximately 80 nucleotides in length. Their secondary structure includes four short double-helical elements and three loops (D, anti-codon, and T loops). Further hydrogen bonds mediate the characteristic L-shaped molecular structure. tRNAs have two regions of fundamental functional importance: the anti-codon, which is responsible for specific mRNA codon recognition, and the 3' end, to which the tRNAs corresponding amino acid is attached (by aminoacyl-tRNA synthetases). tRNAs cope with the degeneracy of the genetic code in two manners: having more than one tRNA (with a specific anti-codon) for a particular amino acid; and 'wobble' base-pairing, i.e. permitting non-standard base-pairing at the 3rd anti-codon position. Lineage: Eukaryota; Metazoa; Nematoda; Chromadorea; Rhabditida; Toxocaridae. The record is from Rfam by way of RNAcentral.
GUGGAAGUAGCUCAGUGGUAGAGUUCCCGCUUCCUAUGCGGGAAAAUCUGGGUUCGAUUCCCGGUUGCUUUC